RNAcentral lists this long non-coding RNA (674 nucleotides) under Marmota monax (woodchuck). Lineage: Eukaryota; Metazoa; Chordata; Mammalia; Rodentia; Sciuridae. The record is from RNAcentral.
AAUCAACCAGCAUGAUUUUGGAAUCAUCUAUUUCUCCUUUUGGUUUUUAUCAGUUUCUUUGUGCAUCUAGAAGCUCUAUUGCUAUGUGACAAGCACCACAAAUGGAGCCACUUGGAACAGCGCUCCUUGCUUAUCUCCCAGUUUGGGAGAGUCAGAGGGCCAGGCACUAUCACUGGUGUCCUCUGACCAGGGUCUCCUCAGUCAAGCCCAGGCCUCACUGGUGUCCCCUGAUCAGGGUCUCCCCCAGACAAGUCCAGGGCUCAGCUCCUGGGGCUCUCAGUAACUGAAUCCCCUGCCCACUGUCCUCCCACCCCAGGCCCUUUCCAGGGCCUCGUGGCUGGACACGUGUCUGCAGAAUCAGAGGACACUCUUCAGGAAGGACUGGUCACUCCUACUAGGCAAUUUCCUUGGUUAAAUCAGACCCUGGGAAGGAAAUCUCCCUCUUGAUCAGCUCAAGGUUGAGGCCAACCUGGAAGCCCAGGCACAUCUGCAGAGGCCUUGGUGGCCUCAGAGUGGCCGAAGACAGGACAACGCCUCAUUGGCUGCAGGCUCCUGCUGCGCUCAGGCGCCCGGGUCAGUCCGCGCACAGCCCCGGCACAGCCCAGAGUGCUGCCCUCAUGACCUGGCCAGUUGUCACAUGCCCCUGGUGAAUGGCGCCCUCAACAUCAUCCAAG